UACGGGGGGUGCGAGCGUUGUCCGGAAUCACUGGGCGUAAAGGGCGCGUAGGUGGUCUGAUAAGGGUGUGGUGAAAGUCCGGGGCUCAACCCCGGAUCUGCCGUGCCGACUGUCAGACUCGAGGACUGGUAGAGGCGAGGCGGAAUUCCGGGUGUAGCGGUGGAAUGCGUAGAGAUCCGGAGGAAGACCGGGUGGCGAAGGCGGGU
This 206-nucleotide ribosomal RNA is filed under the name uncultured bacterium. RNAcentral's name for it is "partial 16S ribosomal RNA". It matches the Rfam family "Bacterial small subunit ribosomal RNA", at positions 524 to 726 of the family's 1533-position model. The record is from RNAcentral.